Molecule: long non-coding RNA, 1239 nt
Organism: Dreissena polymorpha
Lineage: Eukaryota; Metazoa; Mollusca; Bivalvia; Myida; Dreissenidae
Exons: 3
Source: RefSeq, a predicted model, not a curated record
GCAAAUCUAUUGGUUAUAAGAUAUAACAGCCUUUUCUAAUUGGCUGAAUUCAAAUACAGAAAGUUUACCUGUUAGAUUGAAACAUGAAACAUGGUGGACAAUGUACUGGUUUAACUUGUUAAAAUAAAGUUAAAGACAUUUAACAAACAGAAGAGUUCAUUAGUUUUUCCAUUAAAAACACUUUCUUAAAAUACUUAUGUAUUUAUAUCAUUUGGAAAGUGACAUGAAAUAUUGCUAAAGAGUGAUGCAUACAGUGUUUGAGCAGUCUGUCUAGGAAUAGAACAACAACUGAAGUUGAUGGAAGAUACUGCAGAGUUUGGCAGGGAAAUAAUCCAACAGCAAAGCGGCUCUUUAAGCGCAUUUACCUAGAGGACUUACAGGGCCACAAAUUCAUGAGCACAUGUGAGCAGUAUACAAUGUACCUCAUACCAAAAAGGACCCGGAGGCAGUGACUGGUGUUCAAUAUUCUCAGAAGAAAAGGAAAAUGGCAGUGGAAGACUUGGACAAACAUUUUUAGCCUCUGUGUUAAGCCUGGCAGUCUGUGGCUGGUGACAUGUUUUAUUUUGGUUACUUCUUGUAAAAAAAAGACCAGUUAUUUAUUUUGUGAAUUGUAUUUUGUGUUUGUUUUUUGUCUUAAUUUAUUUGUUGUUUUUUUUAAUUUAGGAAUUUGAAACUUGGAUAAUUGAAUUAAGUCCGUGUACAACAGUACUGAGCAUAGUAUAAUAAAUAACAAAUUUACAACAGUUGUUAAUUUGUUAUGUAUUAUUAUUAACUAUGCUCAGUACUUGAAUACUGGCUGUCUGCAUGGGAAUUUGUUUUCUAGAAAGUUGGUUUCAGACUUAAAUAUUUGAAGUUAACCUUCGGAACUUUUCUAGAAUUGUACUGGAACACAUCAACUAGAACUGAACUUCUGUUAUCAUACUGAAAGUGUCCUAGAAUUAAUAAGGAACAGUUGUUGAAUGUUAAAAUUUAUGAGAAAAAACUCUAGAACAAUUGUGUGUGAUGUGUGUGUGCAUGUUAUUGUGUGUGUUUAUGAACAUAUGUGAGAAAGGAAGUAUACUUGUCAUAAGAGAAAUGUAAAAUUCUACUUCUAUGUUUUAUAUUGUGCCUUUUAUAAGUUUUUCUGUUCUCACCUGUAUAUGCGUGCAUGUUUAUGGAUGUGAUUUUGAAUGUGUGCAUGCAUGCCUGUGGUUAAGAGAGUUGGUACUUUAUGAAAAUGUAAAACCACUCAUUUUUGAA